CCUACGGGAGGCAGCAGUAGGGAAUCUUCGGCAAUGGACGAAAGUCUGACCGAGCAACGCCGCGUGAGUGAAGAAGGUUUUCGGAUCGUAAAACUCUGUUGUUAGAGAAGAACAAGGACGUUAGUAACUGAACGUCCCCUGACGGUAUCUAACCAGAAAGCCACGGCUAACUACGUGCCA
This 180-nucleotide ribosomal RNA is filed under the name uncultured bacterium. RNAcentral describes it as "partial 16S ribosomal RNA". It matches the Rfam family "Bacterial small subunit ribosomal RNA", at positions 338 to 510 of the family's 1533-position model. The record is from RNAcentral.